This 505-nucleotide ribosomal RNA is filed under the name uncultured bacterium. RNAcentral describes it as "partial 16S ribosomal RNA". It matches the Rfam family "Bacterial small subunit ribosomal RNA", at positions 28 to 507 of the family's 1533-position model. The record is from RNAcentral.
GACGAACGCUGGCGGCGUGCCUAAUACAUGCAAGUAGAACGCACAGUUUAUACCGUAGCUUGCUACACCAUAGACUGUGAGUUGCGAACGGGUGAGUAACGCGUAGGUAACCUGCCUGGUAGCGGGGGAUAACUAUUGGAAACGAUAGCUAAUACCGCAUAAUAUUAAUUAUUGCAUGAUAAUUAAUUGAAAGGUGCAAUUGCGCCACUACCAGAUGGACCUGCGUUGUAUUAGCUAGUAGGUGAGGUAACGGCUCACCUAGGCGACGAUACAUAGCCGACCUGAGAGGGGGAUCGGCCACACUGGGACUGAGACACGGCCCAGACUCCUACGGGAGGCAGCAGUAGGGAAUCUUCGGCAAUGGACGAAAGGCUGAACGAGCAACGCCGCGGGAGGGAAGAAGGUUUUCGGAUCGUAAAGCUCUGUUGUAAGAGAAGAACGGGUGUGGGAGGGGAAAGUUCACACUGUGACGGUAUCUUACCAGAAAGGGACGGCUAACUACGUG